RNAcentral lists this microRNA precursor (172 nucleotides) under Triticum aestivum (bread wheat). RNAcentral describes it as "MIR2118 microRNA precursor family". It matches the Rfam family "MIR2118 microRNA precursor family". The record is from Rfam by way of RNAcentral. Lineage: Eukaryota; Viridiplantae; Streptophyta; Magnoliopsida; Poales; Poaceae.
GCUAGGAAGAGGAAGAAAGAGAGGGCCUAAGAGCAAUGGGGAUGAGAACAUAGAUGAAAGCCUAAUUUAUCGGUUCUUCACCUCUUGUGCCGAGGUAGAAAUCCCGUUUGGUACUUUCUCGAUGCCUCUCAUUCCUAUCGUUCUUAAGCGCUCCUUCCUCUUCCUUUUUGUU